CCUACGGGAGGCAGCAGUGGGGAAUAUUGCACAAUGGGGGGAAACCCUGAUGCAGCGACGCCGCGUGGAGGAAGAAGGUCUUUCGGAUUGUAAACUCCUGUUGUUGAGGAAGAUAAUGACGGUACUCAACAAGGAAGUGACGGCUAACUACGUGCCAGCA
This 160-nucleotide ribosomal RNA is filed under the name uncultured bacterium. Its description in RNAcentral is "partial 16S ribosomal RNA". It matches the Rfam family "Bacterial small subunit ribosomal RNA", at positions 338 to 513 of the family's 1533-position model. The record is from RNAcentral.